This 440-nucleotide ribosomal RNA is filed under the name uncultured bacterium. RNAcentral's name for it is "bacterial SSU rRNA". It matches the Rfam family "Bacterial small subunit ribosomal RNA", at positions 339 to 796 of the family's 1533-position model. The record is from RNAcentral.
CUACGGGAGGCAGCAGUGGGGAAUAUUGGACAAUGGGCGCAAGCCUGAUCCAGCCAUGCCGCGUGGGUGACGAAGGUCUUCGGAUUGUAAAGCUCUUUUGGCGGGGACGAUAAUGACGGUACCCGCAGAAUAAGCCCCGGCUAACUUCGUGCCAGCAGCCGCGGUAAUACGAAGGGGGCUAGCGUUGUUCGGAAUUACUGGGCGUAAAGCGCACGUAGGCGGAUUUGUAAGUCAGGGGUGAAAUCCCGGGGCUCAACCUCGGAACUGCCUUUGAUACUGCAAGUCUUGAGUCCGGAAGAGGUGAGUGGAAUUCCUAGUGUAGAGGUGAAAUUCGUAGAUAUUAGGAAGAACACCAGUGGCGAAGGCGGCUCACUGGUCCGGUACUGACGCUGAGGUGCGAAAGCGUGGGGAGCGAACAGGAUUAGAUACCCGGGUAGUCC